GCGUAACAAGGUUUCCGUAGGUGAACCUGCGGAAGGAUCAUUAAUGAAUCUGAGAGGGGCUGUAGCUGGCCUUUUCGUUUGAGAGGCAUUUUGUGCACGUCCUGAUCACUGUCCGAUUCUCCCAACACCUGUGCACAUGCCAUAGGUCGGCUUCUGAAGUGCUGAGGUCUUUGUUGACUUUGCUCUGUGUGAGGCCUUCCUGUGUUUUAUCACAAACUGUUCUGUUUAUAGAAUGUCUGUUGCGCGUGUGAUGCGCGCAUCCCAUGUACAACUUUCAGCAACGGAUCUCUUGGCUCUCGCAUCGAUGAAGAACGCAGCGAAAUGCGAUAAGUAAUGUGAAUUGCAGAAUUCAGUGAAUCAUCGAAUCUUUGAACGCACCUUGCGCCCCUUGGUAUUCCGAGGAGCAUGCCUGUUUGAGUGUCAUGGAAUUCUCAACUCUGCAUUCAUUUUUGUGAAUGGGAGCUUGGAUGUGGAGGCUUAAUGCUGGACACCUCUCAGUGUUUGGCUCCUCUUGAAUGCAUUAGCUUGAAGCCUUUUGUGGAUCAGUUUCGGUGUGAUAGCCAUCUGCGUCGUUCUGUGAAGCAAUAUAUAUAUAUAUUUUAUGGGCUUGUGGCUUCCAGUCAUCCUUCACUGAAUGAAGAAUGUUGUACCUUGAUUGACCUCAGAUCAGGUAGGGUUACCCGCUGAACUUAAGCUUAAAA
RNAcentral lists this ribosomal RNA (701 nucleotides) under Ungulidaedalea fragilis. RNAcentral describes it as "eukaryotic LSU rRNA". The stretch from base 270 to 423 matches the Rfam family "5.8S ribosomal RNA". Lineage: Eukaryota; Fungi; Basidiomycota; Agaricomycetes; Polyporales; Fomitopsidaceae. The record is from RNAcentral.